Chelonoidis abingdonii (Abingdon island giant tortoise) is the source of this 560-nucleotide non-coding RNA. Lineage: Eukaryota; Metazoa; Chordata; Testudines; Testudinidae. The record is from RefSeq and is a predicted model, not a curated record.
GGGCAUUUGCUAGGCGGGAAGCACUGCGCGUGCGCAAUAAGAUCUGCUGAAGCUGCUGCCUCCUGGCAUAAGAGCAGAAGUUUAUUCUGUUGGAUCAUCUGACUUCCAGUCUGACUGAAUUUCUGACCAGGUCUCGGAACUUUGUUUUCAUUCAAUCCACAAAUGCCCCCAGAGGAUAACAUAUACCUGCAUGGAGACAAACCCAUCUGGCUCAUCUUUACCCUACAGACUUCAAAAUCUCUUUCUGAACAAGCCCUUUCAUCGCCAAUGAGAUAUUACCCCAGGAGCUUGCUGGAAUCUACCCUCCCUUUCAUCCGAAACCUUUCUCAGUCAAGGCAAUAGAAGUUCAUUGCUGCCUGUGCCUCCCUGCUGAGUUGAUGAACUGUAAUGGUCAGAGAUCGCACCAACAUAGAAGUAUAUCAGAGGCAAAGCCUAGGAAAAUUAAGAGUUUAAAUUAUCUUCCACAUGUCCUGCGUCCCACUAAAAUGAAUCCAACCCACAGGUCACUUGGGCAGAAAUGUCCAUGUCAGGAUGGCACAGUAAAUGAAGCUGCAAAAUAA